UCUGCCGCAGUUAGGAAAGGCCGAGAAGUGCGGGCGGAGCCGACCCCGCCCUCCGCAAGGCCAGCCCAAUGGUGAUGGGCCGCGCGCGCGUCGCCGCCUCCCAGGAGCGUCACAGCGGGUGGAAGCCGGAAUCUCGCGACGCCACCGCCGCGCCUGCGCAAACGGCGGCGGGCGGACGCCGGCAGCCACAAAAUGGCGGCGGCGGAGACAGCGGUGGGGGAGAGCCGCGCGUGCCAAACGCCCUCCUCCCACCCCCUCCCACGACUCCAUAGUUCCGGAGUCAUCGUGCCCUCCCGCAGAAAACCCUAGCCACACCCCCGAGCAAAGGUCUCCGCCCAAACUCGGGGGGUUCGGGUAGUGAAGAGGUUGUCCUGCUCCUAUAUUCGUGUUUCAACCAAAUGGCAUCUUUUUCCUCAGACACCCAAAAAGCCUCCUCCCUUGCAGCAAGUUUAAAGAGAAACUUUGACGUGCUUGUAACUAAUGCGUCUGGAAAGUGGAUUUAACGAGAGGGAGGUGUUUGGAAAUCUGCAUUUUCACAACUGCUGCAGAACAAGAAACUAUUUGUACCACAGAAAGGAACCUCUUCUGGUUGAGGGUGUUCCCUACGCGGUAGAUAAUAAAGCUGCCUCGGUUUCCUCAUCUGUAAAACGGGCUUUCUCCAUUCUCAGGUCCCAGUUGGCAGAGGAGAAACCCAGGUGGCCCCCAGCAGCAGACCCAGGACAUCUGACCAUCAGAGCAGAUCAGUGUUUAACAGCAUCCUUCUUGCUACAACAAGUAUUUUCCUCAAGAAUCGUGGAAGGAAACAAAUAAUAAGAAUGGCCAGAAGAGAAACAUAGUGAAGUUUUUCUUGUGUUAAACUUUGUAUAUCAAUUAUAUUGAUACAUAAAGAGUAUUGAUAUAUAUAUAUAUAUUUGAUUUCAACUUUUUACUCCUUAUCAAAUUAUUAUAGCAACAAUGUAUGAUUUGUUUUUAUUUUUUUUUAAUGUAUGUUUAUUUUUGAGAGAGAGAGAGGCAGACUGCAAGCAGAGGGAGGGGCAGAGA
This is a long non-coding RNA of Felis catus (domestic cat), 1041 nucleotides long. RefSeq lists it as uncharacterized. The record is from RefSeq and is a predicted model, not a curated record. Lineage: Eukaryota; Metazoa; Chordata; Mammalia; Carnivora; Felidae. The transcript has 5 exons.